GAUGGAUGACAGAUACAUAGAUAGAUAGAUAGACAGAUAUACAGAUACAUAGAUAGAUUGUCUUACAAUGAAACUUUUACUUUCUCCCAGGUAAUGGGAUCCCAGAGACUGAGCAGAACAAUGAAAUUAAUCCUAUUGCUGUUGGCAUUGGACAUUCCAUCAUGUCUGACCCAGCUCAUAAAUGUGACUCAGGACUACAGGUUCCUAGCGGUGCCAGAGAGAAGUCCCGUGAAGCUCCAUUGCAGUCAUAGUGCUUCAGGCUUCUACUCUAUGUUCUGGUACCAACAGAAACUGGGCCAGGGUUUGACGCUUAUGGUCCUUUCAUCAGACACAAAGCCUGGGAACAUGGAGGAGGGCUUUAAAGAAUGGAGCAUGGAACGGCCCGAUACCCAGAACUCCUAUCUGAGUAUUUCUCAAGUGGGGUCUGAACACUCGGCCGUGUAUUUCUGUGCAGCCAGUGAUCACAGUCACUAACAUGGGAGUCAGUCUGGGCAAAAACCUUGAGCUGAGAGACAGAGAACAAGGAGGAGCCUGCCCAGACCAAUAGAAAUGUAUAUUCUUACAUAGGGCUGAGAGCUGUCGGCCAAAUUGCUUUCCCUUUCCUUUAAUCUCUAUUUACCCCCUGUAUCUCCCCAUUCUCUAUUACCUCCUAAAUAUUUCUGUCCUUCUCUCUUUUGCACCUGUUCCUCCAUUUCUGCAGGUGCUGAAGUCUGAAAGCAUAAGUGGGGUGUUGGGCUUGUGGGUAGAUAAGGGCUGAGGUUAUAGGUGGGGCUACUAUAUACACUAUAUAGAGUAAUAGUCAACGGCUGUCCCUAAUUUGCAUGCCCCCCCCCAGGUACUUCCUAAAUGGGUAAGGAAGUCGGAAGUGGUGGCUUUGAGAUGAAAAAGCCCUUUGUAGUAGAAAUGGUUGGAAAGAAGAGAAGCUGAGAUACAAGGGGGGAGA
Xenopus laevis (African clawed frog) is the source of this 943-nucleotide non-coding RNA. Lineage: Eukaryota; Metazoa; Chordata; Amphibia; Anura; Pipidae. The record is from the annotation of a RefSeq genome assembly.